UUCCAGACUCCUACGGGAGGCAGCAGUGGGGAAUAUUACACAAUGGGGGAAACCCUGAUGCAGCGACGCCGCGUGAGUGAAGAAGUCUUUCGGUAUGUAAAGCUCUAUCAGCAGGGAAGAUAAUGACGGUACCUGACUAAGAAGCCCCGGCUAACUACGUGCCAGCAGCCGCGGUAAUACGUAGGGGGCAAGCGUUAUCCGGAUUUACUGGGUGUAAAGGGAGCGUAGACGGCAGCACAAGUCUGAAGUGAAAUGCCGGGGCUUAACCCCGGAACUGCUUUGGAAACUGUGCAGCUAGAGUGCAGGAGAGGUAAGCGGAAUUCCUAGUGUAGCGGUGAAAUGCGUAGAUAUCACGAAGAACCCCGAUUGCGAAGGCAGCCUGCCGCAGCGUUACUGACGCUGAAGCUCGAAAGCGCGGGUAUCGAACAGGAUUAGAUACCCUAGUA
Molecule: ribosomal RNA, 446 nt
Filed under: uncultured bacterium
Lineage: Bacteria
Description: bacterial SSU rRNA
Rfam family: Bacterial small subunit ribosomal RNA
Source: RNAcentral